GUAGGUGAACCUGCGGAAGGAUCAUUAUUGAAAUAAACCUGCUGGGUUGUUGCUGGCUCUCUAGGGAGCAUGUGCACACCUUGUCAUCUUUAUAUCUCCACCUGUGCACUUUUUGUAGACAUCUUUCCAGGUGUCUAUGUUGACCCUUCAUUUGCCCCCCAAUGUAUGUCAAUAGAAUGUUGUGUCCAUGAUAAUAAAAUCUAUACAACUUUCAGCAACGGAUCUCUUGGCUCUC
Molecule: unclassified non-coding RNA, 235 nt
Filed under: rhizosphere metagenome
Description: partial ribosomal RNA internal transcribed spacer region
Source: RNAcentral